Maniola jurtina (meadow brown) is the source of this 138-nucleotide long non-coding RNA. RefSeq lists it as uncharacterized. The record is from RefSeq and is a predicted model, not a curated record. The transcript has 3 exons. NCBI's taxonomy places the organism in Eukaryota, Metazoa, Arthropoda, Insecta, Lepidoptera, Nymphalidae.
GGAAAAAGACAGUUUAUAAUUUUAAAUUUUUUUCCAACAUUUACAAAUGUGCCCUCACCAACACUUGAACAAUGUGUUGAAGCUUUGGUGAGUCCAUCUUGCUCGCAAACAUGUUCAGGAUGCGGUUCGUACUUGAGC